GACGAACGCUGGCGGCGUGCCUAACACAUGCAAGUCGAGCGAAGCGGCGGAUGGGUGAGUAACGCGUGGGUAACCUGCACUUAAGUCUGGGAUACCAUUUGGAAACCGACGCUCAUACCGGAUAUUAAAGGUUGGAUCUGCGAUGCAUUAGCUAGUUGGUAAGGUAACGGCUUACCAAGGCGAUGAUGCAUAGCCGGGUUGCGGGACUGAUCGGCCACAGUGAGACUGAGACACGGCCCAAACUCCUACGGGAGGCAGCAGUAGGGAAUCGUCCACAAUGGACGAAAGGCUGAUGGAGCAACGCGGCGUGAGUGAAGAAGGUUUUCGGAUCGUAAAGCUCUGUUGUUGGUGAAGCGGUAAUCAACCAGAAAGUCACGGCUAACUACGUGCCAGCAGCCGCGGUAAUAC
This 408-nucleotide ribosomal RNA is filed under the name uncultured bacterium. Its description in RNAcentral is "partial 16S ribosomal RNA". It matches the Rfam family "Bacterial small subunit ribosomal RNA", at positions 28 to 526 of the family's 1533-position model. The record is from RNAcentral.